UACGUAGGGCGCAAGCGUUGUCCGGAAUUAUUGGGCGUAAAGAGCUCGUAGGUGGCUUGUCACGUCGGGUGUGAAAGCUUGGGGCUUAACUCCAGGUCUGCAUUCGAUACGGGCUGGCUAGAGGUAGGUAGGGGAGAACGGAAUUCCUGGUGUAGCGGUGAAAUGCGCAGAUAUCAGGAGGAACACCGGUGGCGAAGGCGGUCUCUGGGCCUUACCUGACGCUGAGGAGCGAAAGCGUGGGGAGCGAACAGG
This 252-nucleotide ribosomal RNA is filed under the name uncultured bacterium. RNAcentral describes it as "partial 16S ribosomal RNA". It matches the Rfam family "Bacterial small subunit ribosomal RNA", at positions 524 to 776 of the family's 1533-position model. The record is from RNAcentral.